CCCUUAGAUGUUCUGGGCUGCACGCGCGCUACACUGAUGCGGUCAACAAGUUUUUCCUAUGUCGAUAGACACGGGUAAUCUUUUGAACUCGCAUCGUGAUGGGGAUAGAUUAUUGUAAUUAUUAAUCUUCAACGAGGAAUUCCUAGUAGGUGCAAAUCAUCAGUUUGCAUCGAUUACGUCCCUGCCCUUUGUACACACCGCCCGUCGCUGCUACCGAUUGGUUGAUCUGGUGAAUUAUUCGGACUGCCGGCUGAAGGGGUUUCCUCAUCUGCCAGCGGAAAGUCUUGUUAACCCUAUCAACUAGAGGAAGCAGAAGUCGUAACA
RNAcentral lists this ribosomal RNA (324 nucleotides) under uncultured eukaryote. RNAcentral's name for it is "partial 18S ribosomal RNA". It matches the Rfam family "Eukaryotic small subunit ribosomal RNA", at positions 1470 to 1796 of the family's 1831-position model. The record is from RNAcentral.